Long non-coding RNA from Pygocentrus nattereri (red-bellied piranha), 745 nucleotides. RefSeq lists it as uncharacterized. The record is from RefSeq and is a predicted model, not a curated record. The transcript is spliced from 3 exons. Lineage: Eukaryota; Metazoa; Chordata; Actinopteri; Characiformes; Serrasalmidae.
CAUAGAAGAAGGUGCUCUAUUCCGUUCCCAUUCCGACGCCACUCAGGUUGGUUUUGCCUGACAGAGGAAGGAGCGGUUAGAGACGACUGUGAUUGUCGAAGAAGUGUGUCAUCAUUUUCCAAAGGCAUCACCAUGAAUUAUACCUAUGAUGAAGAGACAUUUAAUUACUAUGAAGAGAAAUAUUAUUCCUAUGAAGACCCCACCCAAAAAGCUCCUACUGCAGUUGGGAUCGUGUCCUCAUUCUUCAUCAUUGCCAGCCUGUGUGUGGGAAUUCCAGCUCUCAUCUGGUCUCUCCACUCUCUGCAUGUUUGCCGCAAGAGCGGAGGCCGAAUCUCAGUCUUCAUUGUCUUCCUCCUCAUUAACGUCCUUCUUCAGUCCACAUUUAGCCCACCUGCAAUAAUGUUUAAUCUAGAGAUCUCCUGCGGGUCAAAAGGCUGUUACUGGACCUUUAUUCUCUUUGGUAUGGCUGAGGUCUGUGGGCUCUAUUUGCACCAGCUUGUGGCGCUAGAGAGCGUAUUACAUCUGAGACAUCCAGUCUACACUGCAGACCUUUUCUCUCUGCCAUGUUCAGUCACUCUUUCUAUCUCUGUUUACCUCUUUGCUUUUGCAUGUGCUGUUAUUUUGGAUAUGUUUGCAUUCUGUCUACCAUCAAUUGGAAUAUUAAUAGUUACGUUCAUUCUCACCUUUAAAGCCCCUCCUUCACAUCAUGACACGGUGACAAAAAGAAGGCCAAGGCAGUGGGUGC